AGGCGGUUGAUUCGUCCCGCCUGGGGAGGCCGGUGGAAAUACAGUGCAAAAGAACCGGGCUGAACAGCAGGCUGGGUGGCGAAGC
This is a small RNA of Ruminococcaceae bacterium D16, 85 nucleotides long. It matches the Rfam family "RAGATH-28 RNA". Rfam says of the family: Clostridiales (Firmicutes). Nearby to self-cleaving ribozyme genes NCBI's taxonomy places the organism in Bacteria, Bacillati, Bacillota, Clostridia, Eubacteriales, Oscillospiraceae. The record is from Rfam.